UUUUGUUCCUAAACUAGCACUCAAAGUCAAAAGUCACAAAAAUAACACUUAAUGUUUUAUCAAAAGUCAUAAACUUAGGGUUUAGAGUUAAAGGGUGGAGUUUAGGAUUUAGGGUUUGGGGUUUAGGAUUUAGGGUUUAGGGUUUAGGCUUUAGAGUUUAGGGUUUAGGCUUUAGGCUUUAGGGUUUAAGGUUUAGAGUUUAGGGUUUAGGGUUUAGGGUUUAGGGUUUAGGGUUUAG
This 238-nucleotide long non-coding RNA is filed under the name Brassica napus (rape). RNAcentral describes it as "long non-coding RNA (BNAP_LNC010309)". The record is from RNAcentral. Lineage: Eukaryota; Viridiplantae; Streptophyta; Magnoliopsida; Brassicales; Brassicaceae.